AACCCAUGGUAAAGGCAUCGUCUCGAGAGAUCCUUGUAUCUCUCCCAUGCAUCGUAGAGUGUCUCUAAAUCUAUCUGCACAAAAGAAGAGAUAUCAUUAUGUAAUU
RNAcentral lists this small nucleolar RNA (106 nucleotides) under Gossypium arboreum. RNAcentral's name for it is "Plant small nucleolar RNA R71". It matches the Rfam family "Plant small nucleolar RNA R71". Rfam says of the family: R71 is a member of the C/D box family of snoRNAs containing the C (UGAUGA) and D (CUGA) box motifs. The record is from Rfam by way of RNAcentral. Lineage: Eukaryota; Viridiplantae; Streptophyta; Magnoliopsida; Malvales; Malvaceae.